Molecule: ribosomal RNA, 459 nt
Filed under: uncultured bacterium
Lineage: Bacteria
Description: partial 16S ribosomal RNA
Rfam family: Bacterial small subunit ribosomal RNA
Source: RNAcentral
CCUACGGGAGGCAGCAGUGAGGAAUAUUGGUCAAUGGGCGCGAGCCUGAACCAGCCAAGUCGCGUGAGGGAAGACGGUCCUAUGGAUUGUAAACCUCUUUUGUCGGGGAGCAAAAGACGCCACGCGUGGCGUUCCGAGAGUACCCGAAGAAAAAGCCUCGGCUAACUCCGUGCCAGCCGCCCCGGUAAUACGGAGGAUGCGAGCGUUAUCCGGAUUUAUUGGGUUUAAAGGGUGCGCAGGCGGAAGAUCAAGGCAGCGGUAAAAUUGAGGGGCUCAACCUCUUCGAGCCGUUGAAACUGGUUUUCUUGAGUGGGCGAGAAGUAUGCGGAAUGCGUGGUGUAGCGGUGAAAUGCAUAGAUAUCACGCAGAACUCCGAUUGCGAAGGCAGCAUACCGGCGCUCAACUGACGCUCAUGCACGAAAGUGUGGGUAUCGAACAGGAUUAGAUACCCGAGUAGUC